This 737-nucleotide long non-coding RNA is filed under the name Homo sapiens (human). Its description in RNAcentral is "HSALNT0310059". Lineage: Eukaryota; Metazoa; Chordata; Mammalia; Primates; Hominidae. The record is from RNAcentral.
AGCCCAGCCCGGGGCGCCGGCUUCGCCGCGUGCGCGUGCGCAUGGUGGGGUUUGGCUGGCUGCGGGAUGCGGUCGAGGCCGCCGAGGCCGCAAACUCCAGUGGGAAGGCGGCGUGCCGCGGCCGGCUUCGGUGGAGGAGGGGGCGUUUCCCCGGAAAAGGAAGGAAGUGGGUGUCACGGGCCUCAAUACGGCCCCUUUGACGUCUUGAGUGGGAAAUCACAAGAUACUGCUCCAGAUUUUCCCAUUUUAUGGCUAAAUCCAAAUGACUCGGACCCCCUGCCCCAUCACAUCAGGAACUUCAGCAGUUCCUUCCACCAAAGCUCAACUAUUGCUGCAAGCGCUUUGGUAAUCACGAGCAUUAUCUAUGAAGCUACUGCUGUGGUCAGGGCCCCAGUCGUCCUGCUGAGUAGCAGACUUUGAAAGACGGUGUCCAAGGCCACCCUGCUGGUCAGUGACCUGCUCUAGAGGCUAAGCCAGGGCAUGCUUAGAACUUUGAUAUUUAGACUUCUUACAUUAACUUAACCCAGUUAACAGGUUUGUGGGGGCAUUUUUUGUUUGUUUUUUUGAGACCGAGUCUCGCUGUGUCACCCAGGCUGGAGUGCAGUGGCACAAUCUCUGCUCACUGCAGCUUCUGCCUCCCGGAUUCAAGCAAUUCUCUCACCUCAGCCUCCAGAGUAGCUGGGAUUAGACGUGUGCCACCACACCCAGCUAAUUUUUGUAUUUUUAGUAGAGACAGG